AUGGGGGAGCUCAUGAAUGCCCUCACCAAGUACGCAGAGUCUGAUUCCACUAAAGACCCUGGUGCAGACGGGGCUCCAAAAGGCAAGGGGAAAAAGGGCAACGACGGUAAGGGCCACCAGCAAGGUAGUGGUGGCAACGGUGGAAAAUGCAAGAACUCGGAAGGCGGGUCAGACCUUGUCACAAACACCAACGCAGGGUCCAAAUAUCCGAAAAGGCCCGACGCUAGGAAGAAUUUCAAACCCAAGAAUUCCGACGAAGCCCUAAAGGGGCCAUGUCCAAAACAUAGCCUCCCUAAUAAGCCGGCCACCCACUCUUGGGAGGAUUGCAGCAUCAUGAGAGCCUUUUCGCAGCGGUUCCAGAACCACCAAGGAGGUGGUGGCGGCGACCCAGGAUCAUCCGGUGGCGGGUCAGCUGGCGGAUACCACCAACCGCAUUUCCAAGGGGCCGGCGGCUCGGGCGGAAGUUACCAGGGACACAGAGGAAAUAGUCAACAAAACCAACAACAAGGCAAUCAGACUGGUUACCAGAGUAACCCCAAACAACUGAACAGCGGCCAGUACCAUGUGUUUGCUACCAACACAGACAAAAGAGAUCGCAAGCUUAAGAAAUGCCAGAUCAACAUGGUUGAGCCGGCAGUACCGCAGUACCUGAGAUGGUCAGAGCACCCAAUAACCGGGAGUCGGGAGGAUCACCCGCCUCGGGUCAAAAAUCCGGGUCAUCUGGCCUUAGUGGUGGUGCCUCAAGUUGGGGGCUAUUCUCUCACCAAGGUGCUCAUGGACGGGGGGAGUAGCAUUAAUAUUCUCUACUACGACACUCUUCGGCACAUGGGCUUGUCUGAGAAAGACCUCUCCCCAUCCACUACCAUUUUCGUGGAAUCGUCCCUGGCAAGUCAGCCUAUCCAAUCGGUCGGGUCAAGUUGGACGAGGAAUUUGGGUCAGACACCAAUUACACAUGUGAGUCUUUGUCCUUCGAGGUGGUCAAGACUAAGAGUCCAUACCACGCCCUCUUUGGACGGCCGGCCAACGCCAAGUUCAUGGCUCGGCCCUGCUAUGUCUACCUCAAGCUGA
Molecule: ribosomal RNA, 1068 nt
Filed under: Triticum aestivum (bread wheat)
Lineage: Eukaryota; Viridiplantae; Streptophyta; Magnoliopsida; Poales; Poaceae
Description: partial small subunit ribosomal RNA
Source: RNAcentral